CGUUCGCCUGGGGACUACGCGCACUAGCUUAAAACCCAAAGGACUUGGCGGUGCUUUAGAUCCACCUAGAGGAGCCUGUUCUGGAACCGAUAACCCCCGUUUAACCUCACCCUCCCUUGCUUAUUCCGCCUAUAUACCGCCGUCGUCAGCUUACCCUGUGAAGGCAGCAUAGUAAGCAAAACCAGUACAACUCAAAACGUCAGGUCGAGGUGUAGCAUACGGGAGGGGAAGAAAUGGGCUACAUUCUCUGGUUAAGAGAAUACGGAUAAUGACAUGAAAAAUCAUUUGAAGGAGGAUUUAGUAGUAAGCAAAAAGCAGAGUGUUUUGCUGAAACCGGCCCUGAAGCGCG
RNAcentral lists this ribosomal RNA (349 nucleotides) under Atherina boyeri (big-scale sand smelt). RNAcentral's name for it is "partial 12S ribosomal RNA". It matches the Rfam family "Bacterial small subunit ribosomal RNA", at positions 866 to 1383 of the family's 1533-position model. Lineage: Eukaryota; Metazoa; Chordata; Actinopteri; Atheriniformes; Atherinidae. The record is from RNAcentral.